CCCUCAAGUAUUAAUCCCUUUGAAAAAUAAAAUAAUUAUCCAAAAAAUGGAUUUGGAAAUUUUAUUUUUAAAAAUAGGAAAAGAAAUCACUAACAUUUCUUUGGUCAGUUCUAUGCUAUAACUCUCCACUGUCAACAUCUGAAACUUCCGAAGUUUCCGUAACAAAAACUGCUCUUGAAUAAAGCUUUUUUUUUUUUUUUGCCUUAUUCUAUCAUGUUUCUAACCCACAACUAUUCUGCUGCAUUAUGAGGGCAUUUCAAGAUCUGUGCUAUGUAAAAACACAGAUAGGAGUUCCUGUUGUGGCUCAUUGGGUUAAGAACCCAACUAGUAUCUACGAGGACUUGGGUUCAAUCCCUGGUCUCUCUCAGUGGGUUAAGGAUUUGGCAUUGCCAGAAGAUGUGGUAUAGGUCACAGAUGUGGCUCUGGUCCUGCAUUGCUGUGGCUGUGGCAUAGGCCUGCAGCUACAGCUCAGAUUGGACCCCUAGCAUGCGAACUUCCAUAUGCAGGAGGUGGAGCCCUAAAAAGAAAAAGAAAGAAGGAAAGAAAGGGUUAUUAGCAUAGGUUAUUAAUUGUAUCUAUGUGCUAAACAAAUGAUUGCUGAAGGCCAAUUAUUGUCUGUGUGUGAAAGACAUGAAAGUCAAGCUCCCAGUCUAAUUGGGGAAAUACAUACAUAUCUGAAUAAUUAUAAAGUAGUCACAAGAUGUGAAAAGAAAUACCUGCAAAGAACAAUUAAGACCAGACAAUGAAACAACUAAUUGUGUCAGAGAGAAUCAAGGUAUGUGGUAAUAUUUGAUCAAGGUCUUAAAAGAUGACUAGAGAUUGGCCCAGUGGGUCCACCCAGUGGGAGUAGGCAUUCCAAUCACAGGGAACAUUGUUUGCAAAAGCAGAGGCCUGAAAUGCAAGAUAAAUCCUGAGAGUGGCCUGGAAUCACUGGAAUUUAGCGUACAAAGAUUAAGCAUAACUUCCUUUCACCAGUUGGCUGGCUCGCUCUCAGCUGCCUCUCACAUUCUCCUCUUAGUUUCACUCCUGCUUCUACUCCCAGUACAACAGAGCUCUUUUUCUCACUCAGCAUCUCUGGUCACUGAGGGUAAUUUCUGAGCUAGUUUAUAAGCAUCAGACUCCUUUCAUGAAAGGAACACACCUUGUGACUCUCUGUGUAUGUUACUCUCCUAAAACAAAAUCAGUUCUGCCCAGUGUGAUUAUCCCCCCUAUUUAUUGGGGUUUAUUCCCAAAGACUUUUGACUAUUUUCAAGUCAAGUCUACCCUUGAAGAGUGAAGAUUUAUUAUCAUUUGGGAUAAUUAUGGAAUACAUUGCAAAUCCUGAAAAUAAUCCUGAGAGGUAUUCCAAAGCUGUUUUUUAGAAAUGCUAGCAUCAUUGCAGUCUUUUAAGAUGAUUCUUUGAAUAGAGUACUCCUUUGGAUGUUCAAAUUCCGGAGGAUUUUAAAAUAAUCACAUAUUGUUAAUUUUUAGGUAUCAUAACGGUAUUGUGGUGGGGUUUUUUUUACUUUUUUUUUUUUUUUUUUUUUUUUUUGUCUUUUUAGGGCCGCGCCUGUGGCAUAUGGAGAGUCCCGGGCUAGGGGUCAAAUCAGAGCUGUAGCCACUGGCCUAUGCCUCAGCCAUAGCAAUGCCAGAUCCAAGCCGUGUCUUCGACCUACACCAUAGCUCACGGCAACGCCAGAUCCUUAACCCACUCAGCGAGGCCAGGGAUCAAACCUGCGUCUUCAUGGAUGCUAGUCAGAUUUGUUUCCACUGAGCCAUGGUGUGAACUCCAUUUCUUUUACCCUUUUAAUUAAAGUAUAGUUGAUUUACGAUGUUGUGCCAAUUUCUGCUGUACAGCAAAGUGACCCAGCCAUAUAUGUAUAUAUACACACACACAUAUAUACACACACACACACAUAUAUAUAUGCAUACAUUCCCUUUCUUAUAUUAUCUUCCAUCACGGUCUAUCCCAAGAGGCUUGAUACAGUUCCCUGUGCUAUGCAGUAGAACCUCAUUGCUUAUCCAUUCUAAAUGUAAUAGUUUUCAUCUAUUAACCAAAACUUCCAGCCCAUCCGGGUUCUCCCCUCCCCCUUGGCAAUGUGGUUAUGUUUUUAAAAAGUCGUUUUUUAGAGAUACAUAGUGAAAUAAUAAGGUGAAAUAGUGUGGCAUUUGCUUUAAAAUAAUCCAGUGAUGGAAGAAGGGGCAGUGUGGGGAAUACAGUUGAAAUAAUAUUAUUGGGUAGACAUUUGAGGUUCAUUGUAAUAAUCCGUUUUUCCAUAUGCUUGAAAUUUUCAAUUAUAAAAAGUAAAAAAGUCACUUUACAUCAUAGUCAUACUUCAUCUUGUCCUUGUAGGUUGAAAAGGACUAAUCAUUUUCACAAGCAUCAAGAUACAUGGUAAACUUUAAUGUCAUCGGUUCAUUGCCCUCUCCCUAAGUUGAGAGAAUCUGAGUUCUCUAUAAGGACCUCUACCUUUUGCUACAAAGAAUUUUAAUGUAUAUUCAUAUGUAGAUAAAUAUUCUUUUAUUAAUUCUAAAGAUACUAAGUAGGCAACUGCAGAUGCUAAACACAUACUGCAAAUGUAAUAAAUUAAUGUAUACUAAUAUUCUACUUUUUGCCCUGAAGAAUGCAUCUUUAUUUUAGUUUGUCAUUUUUUAAAAAUUGUGCAGCACAACUGCACUGUGAACACUAGUGAACAAAUAUUAUCAAAUGUAAAAGUGAAGGUAUUUUCCCCUCUGUUGUCAUGUAUCAAGUUAUAUUGAUUUAUUUCCCCUCAUUAUAGUGCCCUCCUCCUUUUCUUUUCUUUUUUUUUUUUUAAUUUUAAGAACUCCAGGCAUUCUUGGACAAUAGAAAUCUUGUUGAAAUCAGGUCUCUCUUUAUUUCAAAUUGGCUAGCCUGUAAAGUAGCUUCUAGAGUGGAGGUCUUUGGUCACUGUUUUAUUAGAGGAGUGGUAGGGUGGCCCUCUUCUUCCCUGGGAAGCCCCCAGACUCCGGAUCAAGGAGAAGCUCACCGCUUGGAGCUCACCUCAGACCUCAGAGGGCCUUGGAGGUAAAUAGUUACCCUGGCCAGGCUGUGCACUUCCUGUCCAAGUCAAUCCUGAACUCAUAAUGUGUGCAUUUUUCUGUAGUGGUUCCCCUUGCUCCAAAUCCAGCUACAUUAACACACCCCAGGUUAUUAACUUUUUCAUUUCAUAAAUUAUCUCUACAAAUUUCAGUGUAUACAUUUUCCAGGACACUUGCCCUUUAGGUGACUGUUUCCUAAGUGUGACUGUAGGAGCUCUUGUAUUCAGAUCACUUAAAGUUCUGGCCCUACUGCAGAUGUUCUAGAUCAGAAACUCUGGAGGUGAAGCCUGGGAAUGGGGCUCCAGUGCAUGUUAAUGACUGACAAUCAAGUUUUGGAGGAAGUUUUUUUUUUUUCCUGUCUUUCCUAGGGCUGCUUCCCACGGCAUUUGGAGGUUCCCAGACUAGGGAUCUAAUGGAGCUGUAGACGCCGGCCUACGCCAGAGACAAAGCAACUCAGGAUCCGAGAUGCAUCUGUGACCUAUACCACAGCUCACGGCAAUGCUGGAACCUUAACCCACUGAGCAAGGCCAGGGAUCGAACCCACAACCUCAUGGUUCCUAGUCAGAUUCGGUAACCACUGUGCCACGAUGGGAACUCCUGGAAGGAGUUUUCAUUUGGCUGUGGAAUGAAUGGCAGAACUGAGAACAGUAAACAACCUCUCUGCUCUGGCCUACCCCUUUCUUUAGAAGAGUAUUUCCUUAACUUGAACACUGCACUGUUGAUUUAACAACAGCUUCUUAUGCAAAAAGAAACUUUAGAGUUUGGGUGAAAUUCUAGAAAUAACAACCACAAAAAUAUCCAUCAGUUUUAGAAAUGGUGACAUUACUCAUAUAUUUACCAGUUGUCAAGUCACUUAAUAGUGAGCUCUUUUGAAAUACAUAUUUAAAUGAUUAGUCACUUUCAACUUAAGCUGUGUUUCAAAUUGUAUUUUAUGCCAAUGACGAGAUACUACUUAAGUUGUGCUGUUUUGAAGUAGUAGUCUUCAAAUUAUAUCUAUAUCUAUACUAGGAUACAAGUACUUUACAAGAGAUAUGAAGGCCAAAAAGAGUUUUAAGGGAAUCAGGAUUCUGAAUAUUUAGUUUCUCUUUGCCCUCCUUAAAACUGAUCUGAAAAAACUAAUUUCUGGAGAGAGGACCAUGAUGACAACCUAAGAGGCUCCUGAGCUACUCUCCACCAAUGGACGCACUGAAAGUCUACCUGUCGUGGAGCAAUUCCCACUGAAAGGGAUCUGGAAACUAGCCAAGCAACUCCUACACAUUGGGCAAACAAGAAAACACCCACAUAGAAACAGGCAAGAGAGACUGAAACAUUCUCUGACCAUAAAACUCACCCCUGGCACAGAGCCAAACAAUAAAGAUUCAAACUGCAAGUCCCAGCUGUUCCCUGAGAAGCAAAGGGUUUUGACCCCACAUGUAGCACCCCAACUUUUAGUAUCUCCCAAAACACCUAGCUCUGGAAGCCAAUGGAACCUGCAUCUAUGAGACUACAAGACCAUAGCAGACAAAGAUAAUAUUGUUAAUAAGUGGUGUUGAAAAACCAGACCUUUAUCUUACAUCAUAUACAAAAAUCGACUCAAAGUGGAUUAAAGACUUGAAUAUAAGACAUGAUACUAUAAAAUUCAUAGAAGGAAUCAUAAAGGAGUAAGCUCUUUGAUGUUGGCCUUGACAAUGAUUUUUUUUUCCGAUUUGAUGCCAAAAGUAAGCAACAAAAGCAAAAAUAAAGAAAUGAGACUACAUUAAAUUAAAAAGCUUCUACACAGCAAAGGAAACCAUCAAUAAAAUGAAAAGGCAGUCUAUGGAAUGGGAGAAAGUAGUUGCAAACCAUAUAUUCAUAAGGGGUUAAUAUGCAAUAUAUGAAGAACAAACAACCCAAUAGCAAAAAGGAAAUAACCCAAUUAAAAAAUAGGCAAGAUCCUGGAGUUUCCACUGUGGCCCACUGGGAUCAGUGGCAUCUUUGGCAUAUUGGGAUGUGGGUUCAAUCCCCACCAAGCACAACAGAUUAAGGAUCUGGCGUUGCCCCAGCUGUGGUGUAGGUUGCAACUGCAGCUCAGAUCUGAUCCCUGACCCCGGGAACUCCAUAUGCCACAGAGCAGCUGAAAAA
RNAcentral lists this long non-coding RNA (5139 nucleotides) under Sus scrofa (pig). Its description in RNAcentral is "lncRNA (ENSSSCG00015030528.1)". The record is from RNAcentral. Lineage: Eukaryota; Metazoa; Chordata; Mammalia; Artiodactyla; Suidae.